RNAcentral lists this long non-coding RNA (601 nucleotides) under Homo sapiens (human). Its description in RNAcentral is "HSALNT0276770". The record is from RNAcentral. Lineage: Eukaryota; Metazoa; Chordata; Mammalia; Primates; Hominidae.
AGUGAGACUGGCCAGUCGGCCUGCGCCUUCACACUCUGCUUCCCCAGUUUAGCAGCACAGGCACUCAGGCCUGGCGUGUUGUCCCCCAGCAAGACCUGAGUCUGAGGAAAACUGACAACCUUUUAUCAGCUAUUUAUUGUACACAAGGUAUUUGCUAGAUGACCUCAUUCCAGCCUAACGACAGUGCUGAGAGCAAAUGUCCCCAUUCUUCAGGUGGGAACAAGAGACAAGGAGAGCUUGAGGGACUGGUCCAGGAUCUCACAGCUAGCAGAGCUGGGACUCAGACCAGUUCUGUCUCAUUCCAGAUCCCUGUCUGCGCCUCCUCCUCUGUUGUUCCCAGGUGGUUGGUGUGGCCUGGUGGCACCGUCCUAGGGCACUGGCAUCCAGUUUUCUUCUUAGCAUGGGCUGAGGGCUAGAAGCAGGCGGCCCUCUCCCUUCACUCAUCCUCACGGAGGACCUGAAAGAUGGACCUGCUGUGGGAAUGGGAAUGGGGAAGAAGUGGGGCCGUGUGGACAGCCCUGUCGGGGACAGUGAGGAGACUCAGUGCCUGUCCUGGGGGACAGCUCUGCCUGGAGGCUGGGGUCUCUUUGACCUUCCUGAG